CGCUAAGAAGCUAAACUGGUUUAUAAGCGUUAGCCUUUUAAGCUAAAGAUUGGUGACUACCACCCACCCUCAGCGA
This 76-nucleotide transfer RNA is filed under the name Platycaranx malabaricus (Malabar trevally). RNAcentral describes it as "tRNA-Lys". It matches the Rfam family "tRNA". Rfam says of the family: Transfer RNA (tRNA) molecules are approximately 80 nucleotides in length. The record is from RNAcentral. Lineage: Eukaryota; Metazoa; Chordata; Actinopteri; Carangiformes; Carangidae. RNAcentral also lists the same sequence under 1 other name.